RNAcentral lists this ribosomal RNA (498 nucleotides) under Triticum aestivum (bread wheat). RNAcentral describes it as "partial small subunit ribosomal RNA". Lineage: Eukaryota; Viridiplantae; Streptophyta; Magnoliopsida; Poales; Poaceae. The record is from RNAcentral.
AUGUGGAUGCUCAAUGCAGACAUAAAAUUUUCUGCUAAAUCCUUAUAUCUUCAUUUGAUCAAAAUUAAUUGUGGUUUUCCCCAGAAAUUUUUAUGGAAGUCCAAAGUCCCAACGAAAAUCAAAAUUUUCCUGUGGUUACUGAACAGAAAAAGUAUAUUUAUCAGAGAUAAUCUUUUAAAGAGGGGAUGGAAAGGGGACAAAAACUGUGUAUUUUGUGGAAAAGAUGAGACCAUUGAUCAUCUUUUCUUCUCUUGCUCUGUUCCUAAACUCGUUUGGAACUUAAUUAGAUGUUCUUUUGAUAUGAGAUCGAUUCCUGCCGAUCUUAAUGAUUGUUUUGGGGGAUGGAUAAAUAGCUUCCCUAAAAAUGAUAAAAACAAAUUGGUUCUGGUAUGCACUUCAGCUUUGCUUUGGGCAGUUUGGAGAUGUCGUAAUGAUAUCAUUUUUGAGAGGAAAAAAAUGAAUGAUCCUUUAGGUUUGAUUAAACUGAUGUGCAACUGA